This 256-nucleotide long non-coding RNA is filed under the name Brassica napus (rape). RNAcentral describes it as "long non-coding RNA (BNAP_LNC015454)". The record is from RNAcentral. Lineage: Eukaryota; Viridiplantae; Streptophyta; Magnoliopsida; Brassicales; Brassicaceae.
GACAUAACUUAGAAUUCUCUCAAUUCAAUUUAAAAAAUAUAAGCGCGGUUGCCAGGGUUAGACUCUAGUUUAGUAUUAUUUCAACAUUAAAUCUGGUGUUAUGGUUGGAGUAGACUAUGUACAAUAGUUUAACAAUGGUUAUAUCAUUCAACACCAUGUUUUUCUUUUACUUUUUACAUUUCACAUCACAUUUUACCUCUUUUACAUAAUUAUUCAACAUCCAUUCAACAUUCAUAUCUUACAAUGGUUUUAUUUG